UUAUUACUUUCCGUCAUACCAAAUGACUUUCGUCUACGAACAUACUUCCACAUCCAUUCGCCCACCAUGGUCUGUGCGAUCGCAUCAACGACACUAGUCUGCUGUACGCUUGUGUUGGUAUUGACUGACUCGUUUCUCCGGUGAGACCUGGCAGGGGGCGGGACUUGUCGAUUUGAAUGCAGUUUACCAGAUCGCUUUCGCCGGGGGGCUGUUAUUUCGUCAACAGGCAUGGGUGGGAGGUGUGGGCUUUCGGGGCAGGUUGAUGAUGUCGACAUUGUUGGUGGAGAAUGGCUUUGCUGCCGAUCGGGACGAUGCAUCCCAGCCACCACAGCGGCCGAGCGAACUUUGCGAAGUGGAGGCUCUCUUAAUAGAAAGCCCCGCUCCGGGAAAUUUCCGUUGCUGUACGGCGUCGGACUCUGAGCGCCCUCGCUCGCACUGACAGGGAUUUUGCGCGAGCUCAAUCUCACCGGAACGGGGAAAGGAGGUUUGGCUGCGGUGCUGGUCGAGGCAGCGCUGCUGCCGAUGCUAGGUGCACUGGGGCUGCGAGGCCUGUACGCCUGGUGUGCGGCAGUAGAGCUGGAAAUCAUGGCAGUGCGGCGAAUAUCGGGUUGCUUCGCGACAUUGCCUAAUUUCAAAGGUCUGGGCGGUCGUUUAGCAGAUGGCAAUUUCCCACCGGGCACAACACGGGGCUGAGGGCCAUUGGGAGCUUUUGUUUCAACUAUUGAUUUCGGCGAAUGUGGUUCAUCCACUUCUUCUGGGUGUUCCUCACGCUCCGCGAGAGGGUUGUCGUCCAGUAUUGAGGGCGCCGGCUUUGUAACGAGCUUGCCAGCUCUCAGUGUAUAAGAUGCGAGGGGUCGAUUGAAGAGCUCGUCAUCGCUAAACAGAUCCUCCUGUGGCUCUGGCCAUUCGUCAUCACUAACAUGUUCAAAGCCAGCAAAUAAACUGCUGGUCCUGAACGGCCGUCGAAGUUCCAAUUUCGUAUCCUCAGAAAGGGGACCAUUGUCAUUAUUUCCUGGAUAUGCUUGCAACUUUUCGGGUUCUUUAUCUUUUGAGGAAGGCCGUGUGAGCGGCGCAGGCUCAACUGAGGGAGGGUUUCGAAGUCUCCUUUUUGCAGAUUUCGGGGGCACGUGAAAUUGUUGGAUGGGUGGUGGUGAAGGUAGAUCAAUGGAUUCUGGACUCAUUGGCUGGUCCAUAAUCGCGGAUGGGAGGAGUUUUGAGGGUAGCUUGGCACUACGUUUAUCAACGCGAAUCUCUUCUGUUUGCAUGCCACAUGACCGGACGUCGGCGAGUGGUUCGAUAUAUGUCUGGCAUGAUACACUCUUGGUUUGUGGGGGCAAUACAACGCUGUUCCUGGCGGAUGGGGGGUUUGAGCCGGGGGGUUCGAUAGUGAUCAUGGGGAUUGGCAUUGCCUGUCGGAUUAUUUGUUCUAGGUUUCGGGUUUCUCUGUCCUUGAUAAUUACAUCAUCGGUUUGAGUUGAGAUGGAAACCGUUGCUACCACUGGAAUUUCAGUCACGGGAGCCGGAGAAGCUAUGGGUGUGGACUCCUCUGAUGGAGUUUCUUCAACUGUUGGGGUUGAAGGAGGGCUUGGAGGCUCUCCGGUUGUCUGGCAUGCAGAAGAGGUGGUGAGGACAGGCGCAGUGACGGUGCUACUGUCCUUCGAUUCGUAUACAGGCAUUGAUUCUGUACUGGAAGACAUUUGACUUUUCUCUUGAUUUUCAUUGCUCGCGCCAUUCACCGGAGGAGCCUCAUCGACAACGACUUGAUCGGGUUCCAGUACAACCUUAGGGGAUGGAGGUGGAGUAUAUUGGAUUCCGAUGUCUCUAUAUUCCAAUUGUGGUACAGCGGUGGCCCUCUUUUCAUUUUGUUCGACAUCCGGAAUCACAUUCAGAUUUUUUGGAUGAUCAAGCACAUCGGGAGUGCCGAACCUUUCAUGCCCGUCAAGUGGCAUAUCGAACGUACGCCGGGCCAUCCUGCUGCUCAUCCGUCGCGAUUGCAUUGAUAUGGGCCUUUCGUGGUCAGGAACCGUGCAUCUCGAAUCAGGUCGGUCAUCUAGACCCAACGUGUCUUCCUCUUCCUCGUCAAAUGCGAGUUCGUCUGCUAGGUUCAAGCCGUCCACCUUGUGUCCAUGACCAUUGGCAAAACUCAUGACGGAGUACCUUACAUUAUGCAGAUCGCCGUCAUGGGUACUUACGCUUGCAGUACUCGUACGUCGCCGUCCCAUGACACUGCCCGAACGGAUGCUGUAGGUGUCACUACCCUUUGCCGUCAUGCCAUCACGAACAGAAUCAUCAAAGUCUCCAUCAACACCACGAGGAAAUGAACCCGCUGCCUGAGCUGCUGCAACCUCGUUGAGAACAACUUUCAGACGUCCCUCGACGACAUGGACUUUCCGUUCCCAGUUCCUCCGCUCUUCCUCCCAAUUCUGCUUAUCCCGCUCCCACAGCCUUUGGGUCCGUUCAAUUUCUUCUUCCUGAGUACGCGCUCUUUUCUGUGACUGCUCAAGUCUUUUGCGGAAAUCCGCAAUGUUCUCUAAAGCAUCAUCACGCUCCUUGGACAAUUCUGUCAUAGCAGACAUGGAACCACCCUCAAGAAGCUGUAUCUGCUUUUUCAAUGAACGGUUCUCCUUGGAGCUCCUUGAGAGUGUCUCGCUCAAAGACUCCGCUUCCGACUUUGCCGUUUCCAGGGUCAUCUCAAGAGAAUCAAUUGCCUUCGCUUUCGCCUCCAUGUCGCGGCGCAGGGACAAGAUCUCGGAAACGAGGGAGGCAUGUAAGGUUGGGGUGAACCGUCGAGGAUCUAGGGGAGAUAUUGUCUCGUCAUUUGCGGGGUCAAUUGGGCUGACAGGGCCAUCGGAUUCGUACCGGUUGUCGGAGUUGAAGCGCGGAGGGGAGGAGGAGGGUCCUGGAGACGAAUCUCUGCGGUGGAGCGAUGGGCGGCGCGACAUUGGGUUUGAGGGGGUCCGGUAGGGCUUCUUGUCCUUACCCGUGGGUAGGGACGUUCCCAGUUCCAGUUACUGCUGUCAUACGUGCAUGACUAUAUGAAGAACUCGUUGCGAUAAACAAACGAAAAGACAACCGCCGCCAAUACGAGAUUGGGUGUGAUAGACGCCAGGAGGGGGAAAAAAUAAACAAACAAUUUGAUGCCCUCGUUGCCCAGGGUUUAGUGAGGGGGGUUGGGAUUGAAUGAGUGAGUUAAGGUUGGACAAUUUCGUAAUAUCAAGGAAGUGUUUCAGUUUGUUCUGUCCAAGGCUCAACGGUUGGCGGGGGAUUGAGGAAUCGAGGUAAGUUGGUAGUGGGUAGGUUAAUUCCCCGUCUCACUCAUAUAUUUGUUUUCGUAUUUAUUUAUAGCAUUUACACUUCAACGGUAAGUCAUGUGCAUAAAAUCAAUCUAUUCCGCAACAACGGCCAGAGCUGGUUGGUGGUGGUGAAGGGGGAAUUUAUCCUUUUAGAAAAGAAAUUCCAGGGGCGGAAAAAAGGAGAACGAACGAACGAACAAACUUCCGACAAAAUUCAAGGAGCCCGAUGUGGAGUGUUAUAUCUAUGCAGGUAGGAAAUUUGUCUCUAGAAAUUCUCGUGGAAGGAUUGUCAGGUAUGUCGUGUUGUAUCGUGCUCUGUUGUGUUGUUGUUCGCACGGGAAUAGAAUGCUCGUCUCUCAAGGUCUCUUCACUACCUGAAGCUAUACAUGACGUUAGCCGCUAGCCUGGCAAGGAAAUUUCACAGUAAAGGACCCACUGCACUGCAUUCAUCGAUGUAACUAUCGGAUGUCUCUAUGUAAGCAGGAGAAACUGGGUGGUGAAGGAGGAUCGGCCCGGCAAGGUAUGUGCUGAAUUGUAUAUAGGUCAAGGUCCAGCCAUUGAGGUAUGUAUAGACAAUGUCGAGUAUUUGAUCUAUUUAUCAAACAGAUAAACGUCAAUUGAGAAGUAGGAGUAGGAGUAAUGGUGGUGGUGGUGGUGCGUGGCCGCGAGGUGUAAAUCAGGCGUGUGGGAAGCUACAUCAGGAUGUGUCGUCGCGAAAGGGGCCGGGUGAGUGAGUAAACCGGAGGAUGCAGAAGCAUAAAUGACCUUCCUGUCUUCGUCAGGCCCUUCUAUUUCUCAUUUCCUCUCCAAGAACAGAAAACGAACGUGAGCAGUAGUGGUAGCUGCCGUUGUCGUGGAGGUAGCUGCGGAGUGGUGGUGGCAGAGGAAAAGGGACGAAAUGGAAGCUUUGUCAGGUGGAGGACGGUAGCUUCGUGGAGCACGGCUCGAUAGAUAGAUUGGGUGUUUGAGAUGUAGAUGGCGAAGGGGAAAAGAGAGAAGAAAGAGCGAGAAAAGGAGCAGCAGUUAGUGAAUCUCGCUGUCACCGUCAAAAAGAGAUAGAAGAGAUAGACGAGUGUGGUAUGUGGUAUUGUGUAUUCAGCCCGUCCGGGAGCGAGAGUUGCUCCCACGCCGCAAAGAACUCAGCGACGGACGGCGACGGUGACAUGCCAUGCCAUGGCUGUCGCGAGCGAGUGACGGCGGCAGCAGCAAGCCCUGGUGCAGGAUGAGAUCGGGCGUGCAUAAGGUGCACGACUAGCCUGGCUGGCCUGGCCUGGCCGGGGGCGGGAAUAGGGGCUGGAAGGGCUUGUUCUGUGUGUAUUUUUAUAUAUACUUUUAUCGUGUGCGGAGC
RNAcentral lists this small RNA (4641 nucleotides) under Histoplasma capsulatum. RNAcentral describes it as "hypothetical RNA". Lineage: Eukaryota; Fungi; Ascomycota; Eurotiomycetes; Onygenales; Ajellomycetaceae. The record is from RNAcentral. RNAcentral also lists the same sequence under 1 other name.